This 311-nucleotide ribosomal RNA is filed under the name uncultured bacterium. Its description in RNAcentral is "bacterial SSU rRNA". It matches the Rfam family "Bacterial small subunit ribosomal RNA", at positions 28 to 334 of the family's 1533-position model. The record is from RNAcentral.
GACGAACGCUGGCGGCGCGCCUAACACAUGCAAGUCGAACGAGAGAGAGGAAGCUUGCUUCCUUAAUCGAGUGGCGGACGGGUGAGUAACGCGUGGGUAACCUGCCCUGUACAGGGGGAUAACAGCCGGAAAUGGCUGCUAAUACCGCAUAAGCGCACUGAUGGUAGCAUUACCAGGUGUGAAAAACUCCGGUGGUACAGGAUGGGCCCGUGUCUGAUUAGCUUGUUGGCGAGGUAAGAGCCCACCAAGGCGACGAUCAGUAGCCGGUCUGAGAGGAUGAACGGCCACAUUGGAACUGAGACACGGUCCAA